AGACCUGAAAGAAAACAUACAGUUGAUCUAAGUGAACCAUCUCUCUGAUGUGGUCCUACCUCGUCUACAUUUCCAGCCUGAUGUAAUGUACAUACCACCUAAUCUAGUAACUGGCACAUAUUAAACGCUCGAAGAAUGGUAGCUGAUGUUGUUGCUGUUGUUUCUCAGGGACUCAAAAUAGACCUAGAAGAGUCCAUAGAAAGAACACUGAAUCUGGAGUCGGGGCUGCAGCUCUGCAUCUAAGACUCCAAAUAACUUUGGAUAAGUCACAUCAGCCUCUCUAGACCUCAGUUUCCUCAUCUAUAGUGACAGAUACAGCCAUAUGUCCUAUAAUUGGGUCCCUUCUAGCUCUAAUGUAAACAAGCCAAAACAAAACCAAAACAAACAUCAAUGAUAGAUCUUAGGGAUUCCAGCUAUGAUCUUCCUGGUGUGACCCCUGAUCAGAAACCAGGGAACCAACCCCGACCUAAAUGGUUCUUCUGGGGGUGUGUUUUUCCCACAGGCAGGACCAAUCCUCAGGGAGGCAGAAACUCUUCCUUGCCAAACUGGCUGCCAGUCAUACCUGCUGUGCCAUCCUGGAGAAGGAGGGAGAGAGUCUGUCAUGGAGCUUGUGGCAAAAUCCUUCUUCCUCCGCAAACACCAGCUAUGAUUAGCUGUGUCCUCACCACGAAACUGCAGGGCUGUGUGCGGGUUAGAAGAGGCAGAGAGACAGCACAGCCUGGGGACGUGCAGGUGUGAAGGUGCGUGUGCGCAGGAGUGACCCUGUACACACCGGUACAAGGAGCAAACAGAGAAAGGAGUCCAGGAGAAGAAAAGAAAAGCCUCCCUGGGCAAUCGUGGUCAUAAAAUGCACAUCAAUCCUUAUAUUCAGACUGGAGCAUCAAGGUCUGCCUUCAGGGUCACACACACCAUGAGCAUGUCCAUUUUGGAAAUAGUGUGAUAUAUUUCCAAUUUCCCUGCUCACCUUUUUACAGGAAUGACCAUCCUGUGGCUACAACUCUCAAGACUGUUGCUUCAGCGAAACCAACAUGGAACUGCAGCCUGUGCUUGGGUAGAUUCUCAUCUGUCUGGCCUGUUCUGCCUGAAGGUGAAAGGAGGGGGCGAGGGUGGGGUCCCAGAGAGAAGAGGCCCCAAGAGACUGAGGCCCUAGGCUCUGCCUGCUGCCAGUGUCCCACCUGGGAAACCUCCACAGACAGAAAGGCAAGUGACAGCAUCCCCACAGGUAUUUGAAAGCCUUCCUCUCUUGAGCUCAGGGCAGCAUUCAGUAUGUGACCACUGAAGUGAGUCUGGGUAUUUUCCUGAUAGGAAGCCAGAGGUAGCAGAGGCCCAUCCUGAGGAUUCAGGUUCUAAACCAGUCUGAGAAUCCUCAAGGUUACCUGGAGCCCUUGGACUUGAACCAGCCCUCACCUCAGAGACACAGGGAAUGAAGGUCAGAGCUAGAAAGGCCCUUAGCCACCUAGCCUGGUGCUGUCAUUUCUCAGGUGAGGAAACUGAGGCCCAGUG
This is a long non-coding RNA of Orcinus orca (killer whale), 1503 nucleotides long. RefSeq lists it as uncharacterized. The record is from RefSeq and is a predicted model, not a curated record. Lineage: Eukaryota; Metazoa; Chordata; Mammalia; Artiodactyla; Delphinidae. The transcript is spliced from 5 exons.